UACGGAGGAUCCAAGCGUUAUCCGGAUUUAUUGGGUUUAAAGGGUGCGCAGGCGGAAGAUUAAGUCGGCGGUGAAAUUUUGCAGCUCAACUGUAAAAGUGCCAUCGAUACUGGUUUUCUUGAGUGUGGAUGAAGUAGGCGGAAUUUGUGGUGUAGCGGUGAAAUGCAUAGAUAUCACGAGGAACUCCGAUUGCGCAGGCAGCUUACUAAACCAUAACUGACGCUCAGGCACGAAGGCGUGGGGAUCAAACAGGAUUAGA
Molecule: ribosomal RNA, 259 nt
Filed under: uncultured prokaryote
Description: partial 16S ribosomal RNA
Rfam family: Bacterial small subunit ribosomal RNA
Source: RNAcentral